RNAcentral lists this ribosomal RNA (403 nucleotides) under Triticum aestivum (bread wheat). Its description in RNAcentral is "partial small subunit ribosomal RNA". The record is from RNAcentral. Lineage: Eukaryota; Viridiplantae; Streptophyta; Magnoliopsida; Poales; Poaceae.
GGGGACAAGGGGGGCCGUGGAGGCCAUCCGCCGGCGAUGGCCGUGCGUGGCGGCCAUCCGUCCCCUGCCCCUGCCUACAAAGCCCCCCCGGGCGCCCCCUCGAAACCCUAGCGCCCUCCUCCUCUCGCCCCAUCUCCCUCCCUCGCGCUCGGCCUCGUCGGCCUCCUCCGCCCCACCUCGCCGUCGCCGUCAUCAUCGCGGCCACCGUCGUUUCUGUUGCUCGGCAGCACAUCAAGGAGGUCCGGUGUGGCCUGCUUUGUCCGUCCUGAGCACCAAACCGAGUCGGGGCGGCCCAUACGCUCUGCAUCGCCGUCGUCUCCUCGCCACGACCGCCGUCUCUCGUCGUCAAAUUCAACGCAUCCCGGUCACCCCGCGCUCGCUGACCUCAACCACAAACACCAGG